RNAcentral lists this ribosomal RNA (256 nucleotides) under uncultured bacterium. RNAcentral describes it as "partial small subunit ribosomal RNA". It matches the Rfam family "Bacterial small subunit ribosomal RNA", at positions 26 to 285 of the family's 1533-position model. The record is from RNAcentral.
AGGACGAACGCUGGCGGCGUGCUUAACACAUGCAAGUCGAACGGUAAGGCCCCUUCGGGGGUACACGAGUGGCGAACGGGUGAGUAACACGUGAGCAACCUGCCCUUGACAUUGGAAUAACAGUUGGAAACAGCUGCUAAUACCGGGUAUGACCUUUCAUCGCAUGGUGGGGGUGGAAAGCCUUGGCGGUCAAGGAUGGGCUCGCGGCCUAUCAGCUAGUUGGUGAGGUAAUGGCUCACCAAGGCUUCGACGGGUA